RNAcentral lists this ribosomal RNA (253 nucleotides) under uncultured bacterium. RNAcentral's name for it is "partial 16S ribosomal RNA". It matches the Rfam family "Bacterial small subunit ribosomal RNA", at positions 524 to 776 of the family's 1533-position model. The record is from RNAcentral.
UACGUAGGGUGCGAGCGUUAAUCGGAAUUCCUGGGCGUAAAGCGUGCGCAGGCGGUCUGUUAAGACCGAUGUGAAAUCCCCGGGCUUAACCUGGGAACUGCAUUUGUGACUGUACGGCUAGAGUGUGUCAGAGGGGGGUAGAAUUCCACGUGUAGCAGUGAAAUGCGUAGAGAUGUGGAGGAAUACCGAUGGCGAAGGCAGCCCCCUGGGAUAACACUGACGCUCAUGCACGAAAGCGUGGGGAGCAAACAGG